Ruditapes philippinarum (Manila clam) is the source of this 2227-nucleotide long non-coding RNA. RefSeq lists it as uncharacterized. The record is from RefSeq and is a predicted model, not a curated record. The transcript is spliced from 4 exons. Lineage: Eukaryota; Metazoa; Mollusca; Bivalvia; Venerida; Veneridae.
AAUAGUCUAGUAAAAAUAAAAUAUGACCCAGAACUAAUUGCAAAAGUUUUGAAUCUUUGUUCAUUGAAUAGGUCUGGUAUAUGUAUAUGUCAGAAAAAAAGUUGCACAUAUAACUCUGUGCACAACUUUUUUUACAAGCGUUCAAAGUUCACGAAUUUUAACUUUAUAUUUUAAGACCCGAACUGUACACCAUACACGCAGUUUUUUCCUAUGACGUAACAAUUUUACGUAGGCACGCGCGUCAUUGAAAACUUGUCAUAUGAUUUCGUGAAACUUCCGUCGAAAAAUAAAUAUCAUUUUUCAUCAACAAUAGCCUUUGGAUGGCAAAGGUAAGUUUGUUUUGUGUAUUUUACAUUUACUUUUAUCAUUUAUGCCUUUUUACUUUCACUAUAAGUGCCAUAGUUAAAUAAAACUACGAUUUUAUGUUAAAUAUUUUUGGAAAUAAACAGCAAACCAAUAUCACCAGUAAAUGUUAGUAUUUGAUUUUUUUCUAUUCCUAAAAUAAACGAUAUAUAUAUAUUUAUAAGAAAACGAUGUUAAUAAGACAUAUUUAAUAUGAAAACUUUGUAUUUUCGACAUUAUAUUGUUACUUUGAAAUGAACAAAUUUCACGAUUUUUUAAUCUACGGAAGACAAAACGGGCCAUAAUUUACGUCGUGAAUAUGCAUUAUUUUAUUAUAACAAUGUAUUUUAUUGUUCUGGUCGGGGACCAUCAAACGAACACUUUUUGAACAAUUUUCCGUACAAAUUUCAUAAUUUCUAACCUAGAGACCUUAAAAUUUGACACAGUUCAGCUAGGUUCUUCUCCUAACUUACAAACUGGUUUGUUUAUUUCUGAUUGUAUUGACACUUAUAUCUGAGGCUCUACAAGGAGGGUAUCAAAAUUACCUAAAUUGUCUACACUACAGUACAAUGUGUCCAGACAGAUAUGUACAUCACAUGAUUUAAUUAAGAUAAAAGCUUGGGGUGUUUUGAUUUUAGAUUUUUAACAUGAUAUACAAUAUUUCAGCAACAAAUGCUGAAGUUUUGGAUAUUCUAUUGUUUACUCUGCAAAUGAUUAUAGCUGGUAUAUGAGGUCAGACAAUGCUUUCUUGACCCCCAAAUUUCAACGUCAACAUUCUAGAAAUAGACAAUAAAAAUAUUACUUUACGUAGGUUGAAAUAAAUUUAUUUACUUAAUUUUAGAAGAAAUAUGCAUUUAUUGUUGAUGAAAAAGUGACUGACAACCACUGAACAAAGAAAAUACUAAAUAAAGCAUUUUCGGGGCCGUCCGGGUUUGGUGGUUGUCUGGUUUUGGUGGUCCCAAACCAGUAUAUAAAACAAUAUUCAGAUUUACAUGUACGUAUAUAUAAAUUUAUAUUUAGAUAUAUAUUUUGCAUUAUUAAACAUGUAAAUGUACAUAAAUAAAAUCAAUUAUACUUAAUUUCAGAUAGGACAUCCAUGAUUUACAUGAUGAUUAUCUAAUGUUCAGCUAUCUCUUGUAUCAAGAUGAUACAAGCCACAUUACCAAACCAUGCUGAUGGAACAAACAACGAUUUGAAGGACGUUGCAUUUCGAAACCCGUUGUGCAUUUCUGAUUUCGGGAUCUACAAGUAAAUAUCAACAUGACAACAGAUUCUACAACGUGCGUAUUUUGUGCGCAGGAUAUCCAGAAUUGGUCCCAAUUGUCACUCUCAGAGAGAAGGGAAGCAACAGUGUUAACCAUGCUAGCGAUCUGAGUAAUUCAAGUAUACAAGUAUACGAACAAUUACAGGCCAAAUUGUGCACCAAGACUGCAGAAAGGAUUUUAUUCACAAUAGAAACAUUUCAAAUAGUUCCAAUGUUAAGUGUGACCAAGUUAAAAUACCUUUAAGAUCAAAUUCUAACUUUGCUUUUAAGUGUAAUUGCUUGUUCUGUGGUAAGCCUGCUAAAGUUGCAUCUGGUAAACGUAGAUGUUCAUCCUGGUAGAAGUUUUGAUUGUCAGGAAACACAUCGUCGGAACCCACGGUACACAUUCCGUAUAUACUACAUUUUAUAAAUAGCCUGGGUUACCGAGGAUGCAGGAAACAAUACAACUCAAAUGUUCUGAGAGAAACAAUCUGUGGGGAAAUGUUGUUUUAAACAGACUGUUGUCAGUUUUAGAUUUUCGUCAGAUUCGAAGAAUGUAUAUUUCAGAUAAGACAAUGAAAACCCAAAUAGUUUGGCAUAUAUAUUCAAAAGACACCAAAAUGUGAUUGGAAUAGAUAUUUG